CAAAGGCCUGGUCCUAACUUUAUCCUCCGCCUCUUGCAAAAUUAUACGUGUUAGUAUCCGCAACCCCGUGAGAGUGCCCCCAAAGCCCUACCCGUGGACGGGUCUUUCCCGUCAGGCACGCAUUUGCUGCCCAAGACGUCGUGCUCGGCCACACCCUCUGUUGAACUCAGCAGUAAUAAACAUUAGGCCAUAAGUGCAAACUUGACCUACGUACGGUUACCGAGGCCCGGUAAAACUCGUGCCAGCCACCGCGCCCAUACCAGUGUUAUACCCAGCGUAGGGUCAACGUUGUAGAGAGCGGUUAAGGACUCACCGAACUAAAGCCAAACGAUCUCCAAGCCGUCAUACGCACCCGAAAGAAUGAAACCCCACCUCGAAAGUGUUUUUAACUAAACCUGAACCCACGACAACUAGGAUACAAACUGGGAUUAGAUACCCCACUAUGCCUAGUCGUAAACACCAGUAGACGCCCUACAGCUUCUAUUCGCCCGGGGACUACGAGCGCCAGCUUAAAACCCAAAGGACUUGGCGGUGCUUUAGACCCACCUAGAGGAGCCUGUCCUAGAACCGAUACCCCCCGUUCAACCUCACCACUUCUUGCCUAACCCGCCUAUAUACCGCCGUCGUCAGCUUACCCCGUGAGGGUCAAAUAGUAAGCUCAGCUGGUACAGCCCAAAACGUCAGGUCGAGGUGUAGCAUACGAAGUGCGGAAGAGAUGGGCUACAUUUUCUGACCCAGAAAACUACGAAAGGAAUAAUGAAAACAAUCCCGAAGGAGGAUUUAGCAGUAAGCGGGGAAUAGAGCGCCCUACUGAAACUGGCCCUUAAGCGCGUACACACCGCCCGUCACCCUCUCCGAGGAUCCCCAGCCCCUUCAAAACCUAUAGCCUCUAAUGGGUAAAGGAGAGGUAAGUCGUAACAUGGUAAGUGUACCGGAAGGUGCACUUGGAUAACA
RNAcentral lists this non-coding RNA (954 nucleotides) under Taaningichthys minimus. RNAcentral describes it as "12S rRNA". It matches the Rfam family "Bacterial small subunit ribosomal RNA". The record is from RNAcentral. Lineage: Eukaryota; Metazoa; Chordata; Actinopteri; Myctophiformes; Myctophidae.